RNAcentral lists this ribosomal RNA (425 nucleotides) under uncultured bacterium. RNAcentral describes it as "bacterial SSU rRNA". It matches the Rfam family "Bacterial small subunit ribosomal RNA", at positions 354 to 796 of the family's 1533-position model. The record is from RNAcentral.
GUGGGGAAUAUUGGGCAAUGGGCGAAAGCCUGACCCAGCAACGCCGCGUGAAGGAAGAAGGUUUUCGGAUCGUAAACUUCUAUCCUUGGUGAAGAUAAUGACGGUAGCCAAGAAGGAAGCCCCGGCUAACUACGUGCCAGCAGCCGCGGUAAUACGUAGGGGGCAAGCGUUGUCCGGAAUGAUUGGGCGUAAAGGGCGCGUAGGCGGCCCGGUAAGUCUGAAGUGAAAGUCCUGCUUUUAAGGUGGGAAUUGCUUUGGAUACUGUCGGGCUUGAGUGCAGGAGAGGUAAGCGGAAUUCCCGGUGUAGCGGUGAAAUGCGUAGAGAUCGGGAGGAACACCAGUGGCGAAGGCGGCUUACUGGACUGUAACUGACGCUGAGGCGCGAAAGUGUGGGGAGCAAACAGGAUUAGAAACCCGAGUAGUCC